CCUGCCAGUGACAACUUUAACGGCCGCGGUACCCUAACCGUGCGAAGGUAGCAUAAUCACUUGUUCUUUAAAUAGGGACUAGUAUCAACGGCAUCACGAGGGCUGUACUGUCUCCUUUCUCUAAUCAGUGAAACUGAUCUCCCCGUGAAGAAGCGGGGAUUAAACUAUAAGACGAGAAGACCCCAUGGAGCUUUAAGCAAUGUAUUCACCCCUGCACCUUUACAUCAACCAAACAUAAGAGACCUGAAUACUAGCUUUAGGUUGGGGGGACCACGGAGUAUAAUAUAACCUCCAUGACAAACGGGCUACGCCCUUAUCCACGAGCUACAACUCUAAGAAUCAAUAAACUGAUGUUUUAUGACCCGAUAAUUCGAUCAACGAACCAAGUUACCCUGGGGAUAACAGCGCAAUCUACUUCAAGAGCCCAUAUCGACAAGUAGGUUUACGACCUCGAUGUUGGAUCAGGGUAUCCCAGUGGUGCAGCCGCUACUAAUGGUUCGUUUGUUCAACGAUUAAAACCCUACGUGAUCUGAGUUC
RNAcentral lists this ribosomal RNA (537 nucleotides) under Hydrophylax leptoglossa (Assam forest frog). Its description in RNAcentral is "partial large subunit ribosomal RNA". It matches the Rfam family "Bacterial large subunit ribosomal RNA", at positions 1858 to 2612 of the family's 2925-position model. Lineage: Eukaryota; Metazoa; Chordata; Amphibia; Anura; Ranidae. The record is from RNAcentral.